AUUGAACGCUGGCGGCAGGCCUAACACAUGCAAGUCGAGCGGAUGAAGGGAGCUUUCCUCUGGAUUCAGCGGCGGCCGGGUGGGUAAUGCCUCGGAAUCUGCCUGGCUGUGGGGGAUAAAGUACGGCAACGGGCCCUAAUUCCGCAUACGUCCCGCGGUCGCUAGUGGGGGGUAAUCGUACCUCAUGCUAUCAGAUUAGCCUAGGUCGGAUUAGCUAGUUGGUGGGGUAAAGGCCUACCAAGGCGACGAUCCGUAACUGAUCUGAGAGGAUGAUCAGUCACACUGGAACUGAGACACGGUCCAGACUCCUACGGGAGGCAGCAGUGGGGAAUAUUGGGCAAUGGGCGAAAGCCUGAUCCAGCCAUGCCGCGUGAGUGAAGAAGGUCUUCGGAUUGUAAAGCACUGUAGGUUGGGAAGAAGAACAGUAAGUGUAUACCUUGCUGUUUUGACGUUACCAACAGAAAAAGCACCGGCUAACUACGUG
Molecule: ribosomal RNA, 484 nt
Filed under: uncultured bacterium
Lineage: Bacteria
Description: partial 16S ribosomal RNA
Rfam family: Bacterial small subunit ribosomal RNA
Source: RNAcentral